Molecule: ribosomal RNA, 462 nt
Filed under: uncultured bacterium
Lineage: Bacteria
Description: SSU rRNA
Rfam family: Bacterial small subunit ribosomal RNA
Source: RNAcentral
AGGAUUAACGCUGGCGGCGUGCCUGACACAUGCAAGUCGAACGAGGCCGCAAGGCCGAGUGGCGGACGGGUGAGUAACACGUGACCAACCAACCUCGAAGUUGGGAAUAGCUCUGCGAAAGUAGGGGUAAUACCGAAUGUGGCCCAGGGCGGGCAUCCGCCUUGGUCUAAAGAUUCAUCGCUUCGAGACGGGGUCGCGGCCUAUUAGCUUGUUGGUGAGGUAACGGCUCACCAAGGCGAUGAUGGGUAGCUGGUCUGAGAGGACGACCAGCCACACUGGGACUGAGACACGGCCCAGACUCCUACGGGAGGCAGCAGUGAGGAAUCUUCCGCAAUGGGCAAAGCCUGACGGAGCAACGCCGCGUGUGGGAUGAAGACUCUAGGGUUGUAAACCACUGUCGGAGGGGACGAUCGUGACGGUACCCUCCAAGAAACGCCCCGCUAACUACGCGCCAGCAGCCGC